Molecule: ribosomal RNA, 526 nt
Filed under: uncultured bacterium
Lineage: Bacteria
Description: bacterial SSU rRNA
Rfam family: Bacterial small subunit ribosomal RNA
Source: RNAcentral
GACAUCCAGCGAACUUUCCAGAGAUGGAUUGGUGCCUUCGGGAACGCUGAGACAGGUGCUGCAUGGCUGUCGUCAGCUCGUGUUGUGAAAUGUUGGGUUAAGUCCCGNAACGAGCGCAACCCUUAUCCUUUGUUGCCAGCGAUUCGGUCGGGAACUCAAAGGAGACUGCCGGUGAUAAACCGGAGGAAGGUGGGGAUGACGUCAAGUCAUCAUGGCCCUUACGAGUAGGGCUACACACGUGCUACAAUGGCGCAUACAAAGAGAAGCGACCUCGCGAGAGCAAGCGGACCUCAUAAAGUGCGUCGUAGUCCGGAUCGGAGUCUGCAACUCGACUCCGUGAAGUCGGAAUCGCUAGUAAUCGUGGAUCAGAAUGCCACGGUGAAUACGUUCCCGGGCCUUGUACACACCGCCCGUCACACCAUGGGAGUGGGUUGCAAAAGAAGUAGGUAGCUUAACCCUCGGGAGGGCGCUUACCACUUUGUGAUUCAUGACUGGGGUGAAGUCGUAACAAGGUAGGCGUAGCGAG